Molecule: ribosomal RNA, 472 nt
Filed under: uncultured bacterium
Lineage: Bacteria
Description: SSU rRNA
Rfam family: Bacterial small subunit ribosomal RNA
Source: RNAcentral
AGGACGAACGCUGGCGGCGUGCUUAACACAUGCAAGUCGAGCGGAAAGGCCCUUCGGGGUACUCGAGCGGCGAACGGGUGAGUAACACGUGAGUAAUCUGCCCCUAGCUCUGGGAUAGCUCCGGGAAACCGGGAUUAAUACCGGAUACGACCACCUUAGACAUCUUUUGUGGUGGAAAGAAUUUCGGCUAGGGAUGAGCUCGCGGCCUAUCAGCUUGUUGGUGGGGUAACGGCCUACCAAGGCGACGACGGGUAGCCGGCCUGAGAGGGCGACCGGCCACACUGGGACUGAGACACGGCCCAGACUCCUACGGGAGGCAGCAGUGGGGAUAUUGCGCAAUGGGCGAAAGCCUGACGCAGCGACGCCGCGUGGGGAUGAAGGCCUUCGGGUUGUAAACCCCUUUCAGCAGGGACGAAGCGAAAGUGACGGUACCUGCAGAAGAAGCGCCGGCUAACUACGUGCCAGCAGCCGC